This 375-nucleotide ribosomal RNA is filed under the name uncultured bacterium. RNAcentral describes it as "bacterial SSU rRNA". It matches the Rfam family "Bacterial small subunit ribosomal RNA", at positions 521 to 896 of the family's 1533-position model. The record is from RNAcentral.
UAAUACGAGAGGCCCAAACGUUAUUCGGAUUUACUGGGCUUAAAGAGUUCGUAGGCGGCUUGGAAAGUGGGGUGUGAAAGCCCUCGGCUCAACCGAGGAAUUGCGCUCCAAACUACCGAGCUUGAGGAAGCUAGAGGUGAGCAGAACAGAUGGUGGAGCGGUGAAAUGCGUUGAUAUCAUCUGGAAUACCGGAGGCGAAGGCGGCUCACUGGGACUUUUCUGACGCUGAGGAACGAAAGCCAGGGUAGCGAACGGGAUUAGAUACCCCGGUAGUCCUGGCCGUAAACGGUGAGCACUGGACCGAGGGCCUGCACAGGCCCCCGGUCGUAGCGAAAGUGUUAAGUGCUCCGCCUGGGGAGUAUGGUCGCAAGGCUG